AUAGUCAAAGGUCGUAGCAAUCUCGUUGCUUCCCUUAGCAGCAACAAUAGGCAAGGCGCUAAGAUCUCGGUCGAUCAAAAUGGAACUUGCCUCUUCCAUGGAAGUUUCCGGGUCUAUGAGAGCAAUUUCAUUAUCAUGAAGAAAUGUUACAGGGAUAUCUUGCCAUUUAUUUGAAGGAAGAUUAGUGGGAAUGGGAAAUUGUGCCAAAAAAUCUGAGACCGAGUUCACGCCAAAGGACUGACG
Molecule: non-coding RNA, 243 nt
Organism: Schizosaccharomyces pombe (fission yeast)
Lineage: Eukaryota; Fungi; Ascomycota; Schizosaccharomycetes; Schizosaccharomycetales; Schizosaccharomycetaceae
Source: the annotation of a GenBank genome assembly